GAUAUUGCGAUCAAUAUUUGAUGAAACAGGUUUAGUGAUCAAUAUUUUGUGCAUCACUACAACAAACGAAAACAGCAAUCGAUAUGGCGAAUCCUUUGACGCUUAUUCUUGGAGUAGUCCUCGAACUGGUGAAAAUUGUCCUAAUGUUAGUCUGGCGUCCAGUGAAGGGAGUACUCGGAAACCUCGUGCCAUCAUUGCGGACAUUAAAACGGUGAAAACGAAGUGAAUAGACUGGAUUUUCCGCUCAUACUGAAAUAUAUAGACAUGUCUAUUACUAUAAUGAUAAAACAUCGAACCAAUUAGAAUUUGAAUGUAAAUUUCAUUUUCGAAUUUCUCAUCGUCAUAUUUGGAGACAUGUACAAUAAAUGGAAUAAUCAAAUCUUA
Molecule: long non-coding RNA, 384 nt
Organism: Ostrea edulis (European flat oyster)
Lineage: Eukaryota; Metazoa; Mollusca; Bivalvia; Ostreida; Ostreidae
Exons: 2
Source: RefSeq, a predicted model, not a curated record